Molecule: transfer RNA, 64 nt
Filed under: Helota thoracica
Lineage: Eukaryota; Metazoa; Arthropoda; Insecta; Coleoptera; Helotidae
Description: tRNA-Asn
Source: RNAcentral
UUAAUUGAAACCAAAUCAGCGGUAUACUACUGUUAAUAGUAAAAUUGAGUAUUCUCCAAUUAAA